GCGAACGGCUCAUUAUAACAGCUAUAAUUUACUUGAUGUUGACAUCCCCUGUGGAUAACUGUGGUAAUUCUAGAGCUAAUACAUGCACCAAAGCUCAGAUUAACGACGAGCGCAUCUAUUAGACCAAAAACCAAUGGGGUGCAAACCCCUUAGUUUGGUGACUCUGAAUAGCUAUGGCUGAUCGCAUGGUCUUGAACCAGCGACGUGUCUAUCAAGUAUCUGCCUUAUCAACUUUCGAUGGUAGUUUAUGUGCCUACCAUGGUUGUUACGGGUAACGGAGAAUAAGGGUUCGACUCCGGAGAGGGAGCCUGAGAAACGGCUACCACAUCCAAGGAAGGCAGCAGGCGCGCAAAUUACCCACUCUCGGCACGAGGAGGUAGUGACGAAAAAUAACGAGACCGUUCUCAAUGAGGCCGGUCAUCGGAAUGGGUACAAUUUAAACCCGUUAACGAGGAUCUAUGAGAGGGCAAGUCUGGUGCCAGCAGCCGCGGUAAUUCCAGCUCUCAAAGUGUAUAUCGUCAUUGUUGCGGUUAAAAAGCUCGUAGUUGGAUCACUGCCUGUGGCCUCGGUCCACCAUCUUGGUGCUGUACUGAGUCGCCCGGGCUAUGUUAUGUGCUGGUUUUCUCUACGUUGCCUUUACCGGUUGCGUAGGGUGGCUGGCGGGUUUACCUUGAAAAAAUUAGAGUGCUUAAAGCGGGCUUUUAGGCCUGAAUAGUGGUGCAUGGAAUAAUAGAAUAGGAUCUCGGUUCUAUUUUGUUGGUUUUCUGAACAGAGAUAA
Molecule: ribosomal RNA, 778 nt
Filed under: Syphacia stroma
Lineage: Eukaryota; Metazoa; Nematoda; Chromadorea; Rhabditida; Oxyuridae
Description: SSU rRNA
Rfam family: Eukaryotic small subunit ribosomal RNA
Source: RNAcentral